This 291-nucleotide unclassified non-coding RNA is filed under the name plant metagenome. RNAcentral describes it as "partial contains 5.8S ribosomal RNA, internal transcribed spacer 2, and large subunit ribosomal RNA". The stretch from base 1 to 105 matches the Rfam family "5.8S ribosomal RNA", at positions 50 to 154 of the family's 154-position model. The record is from RNAcentral.
GAAAUGCGAUAAGUAAUGUGAAUUGCAGAAUUCAGUGAAUCAUCGAAUCUUUGAACGCACAUUGCGCCCCUUGGUAUUCCGGGGGGCAUGCCCGUUCGAGCGUCAUUACACCACUCAAGCCCGGCUUGGUUUAGGGCGACGGGCCCCGCCCCGCGCCCCUAUUUCGUCGGCUGGACGGUCGGAAGCCUCAGCGUUGUGAAUCAAUUCGCUCCGGACGACCGCCGCCCGCGCCGUUAAACCCCCCAUGACAGGUUGACCUCGGAUCGGGUAGGGAUACCCGCUGAACUUAAG